RNAcentral lists this ribosomal RNA (753 nucleotides) under uncultured prokaryote. RNAcentral describes it as "bacterial SSU rRNA". It matches the Rfam family "Bacterial small subunit ribosomal RNA", at positions 28 to 799 of the family's 1533-position model. The record is from RNAcentral.
GAUGAACGCUGACAGAAUGCUUAACACAUGCAAGUCGAUUCGAUUUACCUUCGGGUAUUGAGGAUGGCGGACGGGUGAGUAACGCGUAAGGAACUUGCCUCUUGGUCUGGGACAACUGUUGGAAACGACAGCUAAUACCGGAUAUUAUGAGAUUCUCGCAUGGGAAACUUAUGAAAGCUAUAUGCGCCAAGAGAGAGCCUUGCGUUCCAUUAGCUAGUUGGUGGGGUAACGGCCCACCAAGGCGACGAUGGAUAGCCGGCCUGAGAGGGUGAACGGCCACAAGGGGACUGAGACACGGCCCUUACUCCUACGGGAGGCAGCAGUGGGGAAUAUUGGACAAUGGGCCACAAGCCUGAUCCGGCAAUUCUGUGUGCACGAUGAAGGUCUUCGGAUUGUAAAGUGCUUUCAGUUGGGAAGAAGAAAGUGACGGUACCAACAGAAGAAGCGACGGCUAAAUACGUGCCAGCAGCCGCGGUAAUACGUAUGUCGCAAGCGUUAUCCGGAUUUAUUGGGCGUAAAGCGCGUCUAGGCGGAAAAAUAAGUCUGAUGUUAAAAUGCGGGGCUCAACUCCGUAUUGCGUUGGAAACUGUUUUUCUAGAGUACUGGAGAGGUGGGCGGAACUACAAGUGUAGAGGUGAAAUUCGUAGANAUUUGUAGGAAUGCCGAUGGAGAAGUCAGCUCACUGGACAGAUACUGACGCUAAAGCGCGAAAGCGUGGGGAGCAAACAGGAUUAGAUACCCUGGNAGUCCACG